AUUUCAUUAAAUUAAAAUUUAAUUCAUACUUUGAAUUUUCUCUCUCCAUCACCUCUUUCAAAUAUGAAACAAAAUACAUGAAAGGGAAAUUGCAUAUUUUAAAGUAUUCUCAAGCAAAAAUCUAUGUUCCUACUAGAACAUUAAUUUCGUCCUUCAUAAUUAACUAUUGCAUUUUUCUUUCAUCAGGAUCUGACCUUUAAGGUGUUCCUGUUGUGUGUGUUUUUAAUGCCUAACUUUUCUGGAAAACGAGCAGAGGUCAUAAUGAGGCAUAAUUAUAUACAGUAUAUAAUUUUCUUUGGCCUUUUUCAAGUGCUAAUUUAGCUAUCAUUUCUUCGUAUAGAAUCUUUAUAAGAAAUAUGUUUUAAAAUCAAAAUCCUUUCUUCAGUUUUGGCCGGAAUUAUAUGUUCAGUAAAUAAUACAGACAGGAAAUUUAGUAACAUAACAUAGGGAUGUUAAGUGAACUCUGUAAAAUAAAUCCUUAUUUAUCUAGAUGGCAAAUGAGUUUCUGAAACAGCUUUUUCCCUCCACACUCUGCUUUUAUGAGAAGGAAAUAAGUGAUGUGUGUACUGCAUCGUCAGCCUCCCUCACCUGUGUGACUUGCUCUACCUGGGUGACUUUCAACCCCUGCUCCACCAGUGCCUGCGUCCCUGGCACCCACUCACAUGACUGAUCUUCUGUCUUAAUCAUAUAGUCAGUAAAUGCCUGUGUAGCUGCCCCUGGCCCCAGCUAAUGAUCUAAUUUUUAGAUCAGAACUAUCUCUACUAUGACAGUUUAUCAAAGGGGUGGCAAGGGGUGCAUCCCUUUGCUGGUUUCCCUGGCAACCAAUGAGCCACCCUCAUGUCAGUUUCCCCUGUAACUAGUAAUCUCCCUCUUCCUUUGGUAGUGAAGACUGCUGCCGUGUCCUGCCCACAGCCUGCUGCACCCAGUAGGGUGUUGCUCCAGGACCUUGCUUUAGACGUGUAAGCUCCCCCGAUCCAUUAAACCAUUGCUGUCUCUGUCACUGACUCUGGGCUCUUCCUUCCAUCUCGAAGCUGAGCAAAAACAGGGCUUGCAGGCCUGUAGGCUGCAGCCCAACACCUACCUUUCCGGUCCUCAAUUUCCUUCCUGCAAAAUGGGCAUAAAAUUAGCACAGGGCCUGGCACAUAGUAGGCACUCAAGAGAUAAUGAUUUAUUUUUUCUUUAGAUUGAUUUAAAAACCAUAUCCAGAGUGUGUUUAAUGACUUUAGGCUGAUUUCUUGUAACUCACGCAUUUCCCAUACUAAACAAUACUUGAUCAAUAUUAUGGUGAUACCAAAUCAUCAAAGAUUAAAUUUCGUUUAAAAAUGUUUAGGUUGCCAGGAAGUCACACAUGAAUUCAAUAAUCAGACAGUCUGGUUAAGAAGAAUAGUCUGGUGUUCAAUCAUUCUGAAUCAAUCAGAAUCUGCUUACUUUUACUUUUGUUAAUGUGCCAAUUAAAUAUUUCAUUCAUAUUAACAAUGCCUCUUAGCCUUUAAAUAAUUAGUAGUUUUACCUUCUAACUAUAUUUUCCCACAUAAUUUGCAUCAGUAGAGUAAUAUUAUGAGAGAAUAAUCCUGAACUUAGAACAAAGAAAAAAAGUAUUUAGAACAGGGGCAAAUGGUGUACAUGUAAAAGAAUUGUUUCUUGAAAGGUCAAGGAGCUUUCAUUUUACAAAAUCUCAUUUGAGGUUGACAGAGAUGAGAGAAUCUAUAUGAAGACUGAUUUAAUUUUCACAACAUUCUAAUGACAAGAUAAAAUUCAGCAACUUGGAUUUCUAUACUAACAAAACUUAAAUGAAACAUGUUUGCAAGCAAACAAGCAAGCACGCACACACACACAAACACACAGAGGAAUUAUUUGUUUUGAAUUGCUGACAGUGUAAGUAACUUGAUCAACUAAUAGAACCAGACUAAUUCUAUAAACCUUAGAGUAUUUUUUAUAAACCAGUGGUUAGGGAAUAUCGGGUUUUAAAGAGGAUCUUAUGCAUUUUUAUGUUCCUAAUGCCUUAAAUCAUUUUAGUCCUUGGAUAAAUUUUGCUGAAUAAUAUUUGUUUUAUGUCUGUAAUGGCCUAUUUGUUUAUAAGGAGUUGGGAAUUUUUUUUAAUGGAAGGUUAAGAUAAGGACAAAUAAAUGUUUUAAUGAUUUUAGCAUAGUUUUAACUAAAUCAUGUAGUAAAUUAAUUAGUAUUAAUUUUUAUCAAUUCAUUAAGUCCAUUUAUAUGCCUUGAUGGAAUGAAAGAAACAUCAAAUUUUACAUCUGACGAUGCUAGUCCAAAUUUCCCACAUUAAAUAGAUGAAGAAGGGAGGAAGACCACAGUCUGUAAAGGGGAUAAACAUGGAAACUUAUGUGGUAGAGACACAGAAGGCUUUGUGACAAUCUGGAAAAUAUAUAUAUAUAUAUUUUGUCUUUUGUCUUUUUAAGGCCGCACCCGCAGCAUAUGGAGGUUCUCAGGCUAGGGAUCUAAUCAGAGCUACAGCUGCCAGCCUAUGCCAGAGCCACGGCAGACCAGAUCCGAGCCACAUCUGCAACCUACACCAUAGCUCACGGCAAUGUCAGAUCCUUAACCCACUGAUCGAGGCCAGGGAUCGAACCUGCAACCUCAUGAUUCCUAGUCGGAUUUGUUUCCACUGCCCCACAGAUAGAACUCCCAAGAUCUGGAAAAUCUUAAUGUUCCAUAUUUCUGCCUCUGUAGUUAACAAGGGGUUACCUGGGCCAGAUUAUCAAAUUGGGUGGUUUCUCCUGUGUAAAUUUGAAGCUAAGUUUUGUUGCAUUUCACAUUUAUGUGCUUUAAGUUCACUUUUUUGGAAUAACUUACUCAUCAGAAAGUUCAAAUUCUUUGUGGCUGUGGCAACAAGCAUCUGGAGCUGUACAUCCACGCAAAGGAGUAUUGAUUCUCUUGUUCUUUGGAAGCCCUGUCUCAGGUUUUGGGGCACUGCCUUUCAAGCAAGAGAGUGCAAGCCUCAGUAUUAGCAGUUCUCAAAUAUGAUGUCACAAGGGAUUUCUAAUCAACGUUAAAGUACCAAUCUUUAGGAAUCACUUUUUAUUUUAUUUUAUUUUAUUUUAUUUUAUUUUACUUUGCUUUUUAGGACUGCACCCAUGGCAUAUGGAGGUUCCCAGGCUAGGGGUCAAAUCAAGAGCUACAGCUGCCAGCCUACGCCACAGCCACAGCAAUGCCAGAUCUGAGCUGCAUCUGUGACCUACACCACAGCUCAUGGCAAUGCUGGAUCCUUAACCCACUGAGCGAGGCCAGGGAUCAAACCUGAAACCUCAUGGUUCCUCGUCAGAUUGGUUUCCCCUAUGCCACAAAGGGAACUCCAGGAAUCAGUUUUUAAGUAUGAAUUAGACUGUCUUCAAAGCUAUCCAUAAACUAAUGACACUCCAUUCAGCUUCAUUAAGAUCCCCUUCAGGAGUGGGAGAAAAGAAGGCAGAGACUUUCCUGACUGGAAAUUUCUUGUCAAUGCUUGACAAAAGUCAGGAGUAUCUCCCACAUGAGAACACCUUCCAAAUUGCAUGUUGCAGUGGGAAAAGAGACUGAGAAAAGUUGCUUUAUAUGCAUGUCUUGGUUUCCUUUAAAACACAAGUACAAACAAUUCUUGCAUAUGUCCUGCUUUGGUGAGGGCCCAUGAGUCAGGAUCAGAAUGAUCUCAAGGCAUUGGCCAAAACGCCUUUGCUGCAGAAGGUUUAAUAUCAUGGGCCUGACUUGUAGAUGUCAUUUUCUUAUUUUUCUAUGGAAAUGCAAAUACAUGACAAGUCUUAAAUUAAGAGCCCAUUGCUAUAUGGAAGUUUGCGUGGUUGCUUCUUAAGGACAAAGUGGCUAAAAGACCACUGUCUUUAAGUGUCCCCUCCUGAGGUACAUGUCAGUAGGAGGUGGUAAUGCUGUCAGAGGUGAAUUAAGAAAAACGUAAAGGGGAGCUCUGGCUCUGCGCAACAGGAUCAGGGAUGAGUACACUGGGACGCAGGUUCAAUCCCUGGCCCAGCACAGUGGGUUAAGGAUCUUGUAUUGCCGAAGCUACAGCUUAGGUUGCAACUAUGGCUGGAUCUAAUCCCUGGCAUGGGAACUCUAUAUGCUGUGGGAUGGCCAAAAAAAAAAAGAGAGAAAGAAAAAGAAAAGAAAGGAAAAAGGUAAAGAAAGGCUGCUACCUUUUGAAUUUAAUCUAUUAAACAAGAGUGUCCAUCUACGACCACAGCAGGGUCGGUGGUGAGUAUUGUCUCCUUGGUAAAUUCAGAUUGUUAUUUAUAACUAGUACUUAGAAAAUACAAGUGUAUCUUAAACAACCUUUGAUCACGGUUUCACGUUUGUUUAGGUUAAAAAUAAAUUUGAAAACUCUGACUCUGAAAUGGACUAGAUUUAAAUUUCUUGGACUACUUUAGAAAAGCAUUUAGAAAAAGGAUUCUAGUUUACUGAGGAAUUGAAGUGAGUUUAGGUUAUGUCAAUUUUCCUGAUGGUUUUGAUUGAACUAAUGACUUAGUCUGUAACUGACUAACCCUCUAAAUCAAUCAAAGCUGGGCCAUAAUAAGUAAACUAAACUUAAAUCCUAAAACCAACUGUGGAUGUAGAACAAUCUUUAAAUUUAUGAAGCAAAGCAGACUUUAUUUUACUAAGGACUCAUGAAACUGAAAUUAAGCACUCAGUAAAAUCUAGAAAGCAGAACAUGACUACUGCAGGUGCUAAUACAUUAUAUUGAUUUUGCAAAUGGAAAUCUACCUACCUCUAAGAAAAGGCAUCAGAAUUUAGAACACUGUAGACCAGGGAUGGGAUGACUUUUUCUGUAAAGGGCCAGGUAGUAAAUAUUUUAGGUUUUGCAGGCCAUGUGGUCUCUGUCAGAACUACUUAAUUUUGCGAUUAUAGUGUAAAAACAGCCAUAGACAAUAUGUCAACAAAUGUGUGUGGCUGUGUUCCAAUAAAACUUUAUUCAUAGACACUCAAAUCUGAAUUUCAUAUAAUUUUUACAUGUCAUCAAACACUCUUUUGAUUUUUUUGAACCAUUUAAAAAGGUUUACCUUUUUAAUGGUAAAUCAUUUAAUGGUAAACCAUUCUUAGUUCAUAGGCCGAAAAAACAAAACAAAAAAAUGAGCAAUGGGCCAGCUAUAGCUCACAAGCUGUCAUUUUAUGAUGCCUCCCUUAGACUAAUGAAGAAUGAGCAGUAAGAAUGUGAACCUUAAGACACAUCAACAAUGUCAGUAGGUCAUUCACUCUUCACUAAAGAGUAGCUG
This 5210-nucleotide long non-coding RNA is filed under the name Sus scrofa (pig). RNAcentral's name for it is "lncRNA (ENSSSCG00000055013.1)". Lineage: Eukaryota; Metazoa; Chordata; Mammalia; Artiodactyla; Suidae. The record is from RNAcentral.